RNAcentral lists this long non-coding RNA (23329 nucleotides) under Gossypium barbadense (sea-island cotton). Its description in RNAcentral is "long non-coding RNA (GBAR_LNC004946)". The record is from RNAcentral. Lineage: Eukaryota; Viridiplantae; Streptophyta; Magnoliopsida; Malvales; Malvaceae.
UCGGCGUGACUCGGAGCCUUAGGAUCGUGGCCUUACUGGAGAGUAGCUAGAAUGACGCGUCUGUUGGGAUGGCUUCUAGAAUCUUCUGCUUGUGGAGCGAGGAGAAAGAGAGGCAGAAACCCUAGGGUUUCAUGCCUCGAUGUAACAGUUUGGGCCAGUAAUGUAACGGGUUUGGGUCUGCUGAGUUGUAACCGGGCAUAAGGUUUAGGCCAAUUGGUUUUGGGUUUACUGGUUGGUGGGCCAAUGUAAAUGGACUGUUACAUGGACUGUUUUAAAAACAAUUGUUUAUUUAUUUAUUUAUUUGGUUUACAGCCCGGUCAAAUUUGGGUUACUACAGUUGCCUCACUUUGCUCAUUGCUGUAUAACGGGAAUCGAGCAAAGAUUUAGAAAGACCAAAUUUGACCGGUCCUAUCAAAUCAUAGUCUUCAAUCUUCUUGACUGUCAUGUUGAUAUCUUCGAUCUACUCUCCGCCGAACAUAGAGACGCCAAAUCUGCUUCUUCGAUUCGUUCUUUGACAAUACAGAGAUGACACAUCAUCUUAGAUUUGCUUCAUCGUAAGCACGUGAAAGCCAAAUCAGCUAUGCCUUCGAUUUGUUCCUUGUAAGCACAAGGAUGCCAAAUCAUCUUAGAUCUUGCUUCAGUCUAAUCGUUUGAAGGUCAGAUCUGCUAUGUAUCUACUCUCUAUUGAAGCGGAGAUGCCAGACUUCGAUUUGUUCUCAGAGAUGACAAAUCAUCUUAUAUUUGCUUCAUCGUAAACACGUGAAAGCCAAAUCAACUAUGUCUUCGAUUUGUUCCUUGUAAGCAUAAGGAUGCCAAAUCAUCUUAGAUCUUGCUUCAGUCUAAUCGUCUGAAGGUCAGAUUUGCUGUGUAUCUGCUCUCCAUUGAAGUGGAGAUGCCAGACUUCGAUUUGUUCUCUGACAAUACAGAGAUGACAAAUCAUCUUAGAUUUGCUUUAUCGUAACACGUGAAAGCCAAAUCAACUAUGUCUUUGAUUUGUUCCUUAUAAGCACAAGGAUGCCAAAUCAUCUUGGAUCUUGCUUCAGUCUAAUCAUCUGAAGGUGAGAUCUGCCAUGUGUCUGCCUUCCAUCAAAGUGGAAAUGCCAGACUUCGACUUGUUCUCUGGCAAUACAGAGACGACAAAUCAUCUUAGAUUUGCUUCAUCGUAAACACGUGAAAGCUAAAUCAGCUAUAUCUUCGAUCUAUUCCCUGCAGAAUACAGAGAGAUAAGAUCUGUCAUCUUGGAUCUGCCCCGAUGUAGGUUAGAUCUGCUAUGCUGUGGCCUAUUACCCUACUAUUUUAGAGUUUAAAGCGCGCUGUCUUCAAUAACCUGUAGAAUGAUUAUGCUUGAUAAUUUAGGAUGCUAUGCUCGAAGUGAGUCGAAUGUUCCUAAUUAAACAUGUUAUGAUGCAAAACGUCAUGAAUAUGACCCUUAUCCUAGACGUCAUCAUUUAUUCCUUCAUUUGUCUUUUCUUUUCUAAAAGUUUCAUUCAUGCUCAUUCUGCAAGCCAUCCUCCAAUGCUACGAUCCACUGAGGAUGUCAGUAAGAACUGAAUUAUUGGUUUUGUCUAUUUUCCUUUUGGACUGGAAGAAAGGAAUUCCUCGAGUUCUUUCAUCCCUUACUUACGUGAAUUUCUCGAGCAAUUGUCCUGUUUUAGUUUCUUUUGUUAUCUAGAAAUUUCAGAGUAAUGCGCAAAACUUCAUUUGUGAACAUAUUUAGUUCAUCUAUCAUUAUUUCAAUGCAACAUACUUAAAGAAUAGUGAGUCAAUUUUUAAGAAUAAUUGGAUUUGAAUGAAUUAUCAAAAAGAUACAAAAGGGAAUUAAUCUGCUAGCCUAUCUUCUAGAAGAAAUAGAAUCUAAAGAUAGCAAACAAGAUAGAAGUUAGAUCCUCUAGAUAUCACCGCUUGAGUGCCUAUACACCAGCUCCAUGAAGUCUUUCUUGAGUUCAACAUGUGUUUAAAAGAUCCUAAGUACUCUGUUGAUGCCCCAGUUUGCAGCAUUCUUCGCUCUUUGUAGCAAGAUCGAUGUGUACUCUUCAAAAUUUGAGCUGCCCUUUCGGGUUUUCAACUCAAAACCCCUUUGGUCACAAGGUGCCCUUUGCGGGUUUUCACCUUGGCCUCUCCGGUUUUUUUUUUUUAAAAUCUCAAGGCGCCCUUUGCGGGUUUUCACAUUAGAUUCUCUUCUUUUUUAGAAAAAUUAUUUUUUAACUGAGUCCGAGUUCACUGGAUUGGGUAAACUUUUCCCAUCCAUUUCCGCUAAGAUCAAUGCACCACCUGAGAAAGCUUUCUUUACGACAUACAGCCCUUCCCAAUUUGGCAUCCAUUUUCCUCUAAAAUCCUUUUGAAUGGGAAGGAUCUUUUUCAGUACAAGGUCUCCCUCCUGGAAUUCUCUUGGUCGAACUUUCUGACCAUGUCGAAUGGCUUUUAACCUCUUUCCCUCAAUCAAGUUCAACUGGUCAUAUCGAGAUUGAACCCACUCAGCUUCAUCUAACUUUACCUCUGUCAAAAUUCGAAGAGAAGGUAUUUCUACUUCAAUAGGUAAUACUUCUUCCAUUCCAUAAACUAGCGAGAAUAGAGUUGCCCCAGUAGAGGUUCUGACAGAUGUUCGAUAGGCGAGGAGUGCAAAUGGCAACUUCUCAUGCCAAUCUCUAUAGGUCUCAGUCAUCUUCCCCACUAUUUCUUAAUAUUCUUGUUGGCAGCUUCCACUGCCCCAUUCAUUUUUGGACGAUAGGGAAAAGAAUUGUGAUGCUUUAUCUAGAACUGGUCGCAAACCUCCAUUAUCGUUUUGUUAUUUAAGUUCAAUGCAUUGUCAGAUAUGAUCUUCUCAGGCAUUCUAUAUCGACAAAUGAUCUCCUUCUUCAAGAAUCGAAUCACUGCUGACUUAGUAACAUUCGCAUAAGAGGCGGCCUCUACCCACUUUGUAAAGUAGUCAAUUACCAGGAAAAUAAACUGAUGUCCAUUUGAAGCUUUUGGUGAUAUUGGUCCAAUAACAUCCACGCCCCACAUGGAAAAAGGGCCAUGGAGAAGUCAUAACAUGCAAAGGUGAAGGUGGAACAUGAAUUUUGUCCCUAUAAAUCUGACAUUUAUGGCACUUCUUGGUGUAGUUAAUACAGUCUCCUUCCAUAGUGGCCCAAUAAUAGCCAAACCUUAUGAUUUUCCUUGCCAUCGUGAACCCAUUUGCAUGUGUCCCGCACACACCUUCAUGAACUUCUUCUAAAAUUAGCUUAGCUUCCACAGCAUCGACACAUCUCAAAAGUACUUGGUCUUUCCGUCUCUUGUACAGGAUAUCUCCAUCUAAAACAUAGUCGCAAGCUAACCUUCUCAAAGUUCGUUUGUCAUUUCCACUGGCCUAUUUAGGGUAUUUACGAUCUCUCACAUAUCGAAAUAUAUCUUGAUACCAGGGGUUAUUGUCAUUUCCUUCCUUCUCAAUGUUACAACAAUGAGCUAGAGCCUCGUAAACACUCAUUUGAAUUGGCUUCAUUUCUUCUUCUUUAUUCGCCUUGAUCAUUGAGGCCAAGGUUGCUAAAGCAUCUGCCAUCUAAUUUUCAUCUCGUGGGAGAUAAUUGAAGGUGAUGUCAUCAAACUCCUCAAGUAACCCCAAAACUACCUUUCGAUAACUAAUCAAUUUAGGGUCCUUUGUCUCCCAUUCGCCUCUAAGCUGAUAAACUACCAACGCCGAAUCUCCAUAUACUUCUAGGGUUUUUAUACCUCGCUCUAUAGCUGCUUGAAGUCCCAUGAUGCAUGCUUCAUACUCAGCCAUAUUGUUCGUGCAAUCAAAGUCCAACUUGCACGUAAAAGGGUAAUGAUCGUCAUUCGGAGAUACCAAGACUGCCCCAGUUCCAUUUCUGACUGCAUUAGAAGCCCCAUCAAAAUUGAGCUUCCAAGAAAAAUUUUCAGUCAUUGCUAUACACAUCAACUCCUCAUUUGGAAAAUCGAAGUUCAAUGGCUCAUAAUCCUCUAGAGCCCUACUGCCAAGAAGUCUACUACCGCACUUCCUUUUAUAGCCUUCCGACUUAUGUAGACUAUAUCAAACUCUGAAAGAAAAUUUUACCGUCUUGCCAUUCUCCCAUUUAGAGCCGUUGACUCCAUCAUGUAUUUCAAUGGAUCAAGUUUUGAGAUGAGCCAAGUGGUAUUAUAUAGCAUGUACUGUCUUAAUCUCCGAGUUGUCCAAAUCAGCGCACAACACAACUUUUCAAUUGUUGCAUAUCUCAUCUCACAGUCAGUGAAUUUCUUACUAAGAUAAUAAAUUGCCUUUUUCUUUUUCCCUGACUCGUCAUGCUGGCCAAGCACACAUCCCAUAGAAUUACUGAACACUGACAAGUACAGUAUUAAUGGUUUAUCUGGACUAGGUGGAGAUAAUACCGAAGCAUUCAAAAAAUACUGCUUGACCUUUUCAAAAGCAUUCUGGCAUUCCUCAUCCCAAGUACCUUGAUUGUGCUUUCUGAGGAGGCGAAAGAUAGGAUCACAUUUCUCGGUUAGUUGUGAAAUGAAUCGAGCAAUGUAAUUCAACCUUCCUAGGAAUCCUCGAACUUCUUUCUGAGUACGUGGUGGAGGUAAUUCUCGUAUGGCUCUAACCUUGUCGGAGUCGACUUCAAUUUCCUUUUCACUGACUACGAAGCCUAAUAACUUUCCCUAUCUGGCUCCAAAAGUGCACUUUGCUGGAUUGAGCUUCAACUAAAAUUUUCUAAACCUCAAGAACAAUCUUCUCAAGACCUCAAUGUGCUCUUUUUCUGUGUGCGACUUAGCAAUCAUAUCAUCAACGUAUACCUCAAUAUCCUUAUGCAUCAUGUCAUGGAAUAAGUUUACCAUGGCCCGUUGGUAUGUUGCCCCUACGUUCUUUAAUCCAAAUGGCAUUACUUUGUAGCAAAAAGUGCCUCAUAAGGUUAUGAAGGUGGUUUUAUCCAAGUCCUCUGGAUGCAUCUUUAUCUGAUUGUAUCUUGAGAAACCAUCCAUGAAGGAGAACAACAAAUAUCCUGCUGUGUUGUCCACCAAAGUGUCUAUGUGUGGCAGAGGGAAAUUAUCUUUGGGGCUAGCUUUAUUUAAAUCUCUGUAAUCAACACACAUUCGUACCUUCCCAUCCUUCUUAGGAACAGGCACAAUGUUAGCUAUCCAUUCGGGACUUAGCCCGGAUACAUCACUAGCACGAAUGCUCUUCGGGACUUAGCCCGGGUAUAUCACUCUCAAUUCUCAUGUACAUAUACACAUAUAGCAAUACACAUUAGUAUAUCAUUUACAUUACUUGAAUACAAACACAACAUGCUUAUCGACCAUUCAACUUCCAGUUCCAUAGCCACAUACAAAAAUCACAUUUAUAGUCAUAACACUCUUUCAAAAUUGCAUCACUUAUACCCUUAUAAUUCAAUCCAAAUCAAAAUUCAAAUACGAGUACAUGAUACGUACCUGAUCAACUUAAUAAUUUAGGCAUAUCUAAGUGAAGUUAUAUCGCAAAUUCUUAUAGUCAGAAGCUUGCUACAGCUCGAUCGGGAUCAAGAUUCAUUACAAUACAGCAAACACAUUUUAAUAGUCGAAAAUCAUCACACUAUCAUUUUAUCACUUUAUGGCAUGUAUAAAUAGACUCAAGCGUGCUACGUUAGUCCUAGAAUCGACUAAACCGUAGCUCUGAUACCAAUAAAAUGUAACACCCCUAUCCCGUAACCGUCGCCGGAAUAGGUAAGGGGCAUUACCGGACUUGUAACUCAUGUCAGAACAGUACAAUUUUAAACUUUUUUCUUGAAAUAAAGAUCAUUCAUUUAAAUAAGUACUAAGCACAGCCAGAGAUAAAAUUUAAACUUCACUAAGUAAACAUUCAAAAGAUGCCAUUUUCGCAUGGCUUAUAUACAUUAACCAAAAAUAUUCUUCCGCCACUAGUCUAUUCUAUACAUGCCAUAAAAUAGUUCUAAACAUAACAGUAACAAGCAGUGGAUAGUGAUAGUGUGACUAGUUGCUGACGAUCCCCGAGCCUGUAGCUUCGCAAUGAGAUCUAUAAAACAGAGGAAACAGAGUAAACGGAGUAAGCAUUACAAUGCUUAGUAAGUUUUAAGCAGUGUCAACAGAUAACAAUCAAAUUAUAACAUAGUUGUUCGUAUUUUUAUUUCACUCUUCCUUCGGGCAUACCAUCCCUUUACCGAAUAUGCACAUCUCAUCAUAUACAAUAGGCAGAUAAACUUUCACAUAAAAGUGAGCUCAUGUGACAUAGAUAUAUCGUAUGAUUUCACAUAACCUCUCACAUUGAUCCGAUGUCACAUAAUCAUAGGAAUAGUCUCAUAGAUUGCUCUCAUAUGCAUCACAUAACUACCUUAUGAUUUAGUGCAAAUCAAGCUCACAUAUAAACUUGGAGUACAUACCUGUUUAACCUUUUGCAUUGAAUAUAUUUAUAAGCAAUUCUUAUUACGAAGUCUUAUAGCUUUAACCUCUACUCGGAUUAUCGGUGAGACCUUUAGCUCAGACGAAAUCUCCACACGAAGUUAUCGGGUCUUACCCGGACAAAAUCUCCACACGUAGUCAUCGGGUCUUACCCGGACAUAAUCUCCACACGUAGUCAUCGGGUCUUACCCGGAAUAUAUUUCCAAGUUUCAUGUACAUUUAUUCACAUGUUACAACAUUCACAUCGACUGUCAUAUUUGUGAUUCAUUUGCCUCAUCAAAUAUCUGAUAAUACACAGCUUUCACAUUUGGUCGUUCGGCCACAAUAUACGCACCUCGCCUACAUAUUUCACACUAGCCAUUCGGCUUUACCACAUAUACAUAUCUCAUACAUAUUUCACACUAGCCAUUCGGCUUUACCACAUAUGCAUGUCUCAUACAUAUUUCAUCACAUUGGCCAUUCGGCCUUAUCACACAUAUGCAUGCUCACAUUCAUCACAUUGGUCAUUCGGCCUUAUCACAUACAUGCAUGUUCACAUUCAUCACAUUGGCCAUUCGGCCUUAUCUCAUAUAUGCACAUUCAUAUUCAUCACAUAAAAUCCUAAAUCAAAAUAUAAAUUUUCAUGUAUUCACAUCACAAUUGUCCAAAUAUACUUCACAUACCACACAUACUAUCAUGUAUACACUUUGUCUUGGCCGAAUCUACAUCAAUCAUUUUCCAAUGAAUAAUUCAAUUUCACGCCAUACUAUCAUUUCAUAUUCGAAUACUCAUAUAUCGUUUUACAAUAUCACGAUUUAGAAUUCACGUAUGGGUUUAAUCAAUAGCUUAUGAGCAACUAAAAUAGUUUUAUCCAUGUUUACAACAAAAUCACAUAUUCACUACGAGCUAUUUUUCCUGAGCAAUAGUCACUAAAUUAUUUAUAACUGGAGCUACGAAACUCCAAAUCACUUGCCGUUAAUUUUCCCUGAAUAUAGACUCGUAUGUCUUCCAUCCAUAAAAUUUCCAGAAUUUUAGGUUUGGCUAAUCAAUACCAGAUUUUUCUUAAAGUUUCCCCUGUUUCACUGUUUGCCUAAUCUGACCGCUCUUCACUUCGAAUCAAAUUUUUCAUUGUGCAGAAUUCAAAAUGUGUUCUAUUUGAUUUCAUUUGAAACUAUACUCAUUAAGGAGUCUAAGCAUAUAAAUUUUAUCUUAUAACCAUUUUUGUACAAAUUAUAAUGAUUUUUCUAAAAACAGAACAGGGGAUUUCGGAGUCAUUCUGACACAGUCCCGCACAACUUUAAAUAUCUCUUUAUAGGCAAUUUCUUUGCUUACACGGUCUCUUUUAUAAGAAACUAGACUAACUAAGCUUUGAUUACAUAUUUUAUUCAGCCUAUAAUUCCACACCAACAAUUUAUAGUGAUUUUCUAAAAUCACGUUACUGCUGCUGUCCAAAGCAAAUUAUUACAAUUUGCUCUUAAAUUUCCAAGUCCAAACACUUAUGAACUUACCAUUUGAGUUUAAGACAUAUCAUGGCCACAUCAUAUCUUAUUAAAUCAACUCAAUAUGUCCUAUUAUGAUUGAAUUUACUCAACGUUUAAUCACUUAAAACUUACCUCGGAAGUGGUCGACGAUUAGAUAUCCACGGCUAUUCGUUUACUUUCUCUUUUCCCCUAUCCGACUUUGAUCCUCUAAGCUCUUGAGCUAAAUCAAACAAUUUACUUCCCAAUCAAACACAAUCACACGGCAUCCAUAUACAUUUUAGAACCAUUCUUAACAUAUUUACUACUCAUUUACAAACGAAAUACUCAUAUCACAUUUAUAAAACUACCUUUCAUAAACACUAUGUAUAAAUAUGCAUUUCUUCACUAUUUACUAAGUCAAGCCAAACCACAUGAUUUAUUAAUCGUUAAUAUAUAUAUACAGCAUUAACAACUUCACUUAAGCUUAAGUAUAAAAUUUGGUCUUACCAAAUUUUGCACAUUUUACCAAAAUAAUAACUACCAAUUUUACACAUAAGUGCCGAAUCAAAUAAUACCACACUUACAAUAUCACUUGACUAAUGAAAUAUCCAAAAUAUCAUUCUAUCAUUUACCAAAUUCAUAAACCACAUAUAAGGCACAUUUUAAACUCAAGCAUGUAACUUAACAACUUAACCAUUAGUUGCCGAACCACAAACAAAACAUAUUCAUACGUUAAUAUCUCAAACCUUACCAUAACAACCAAUAUGCAAGAUAUCACAUAUACAUAACUUAGCUUAUGAGAACAUAUGUAUUACAUCAUAAACACAUCUUUUACCAAUUACCUCACUUAAGCCAAAUUUUUAUAAUCAACCACUAAAAAAUAUACCACAAAUCACACUUCCAAAAUGGGCUACUUCCAUGGCCGAUUAUACUUCAUCAUUAACAUAUCUCAUUUUCGAAUCAUAUAAUCAACAUUUGUUCAAGACAUCAAACCUUUUUAAUUUCGGCUAUUACUAAUAUAAACAUUCACAAAUCAUAUUCUUAGGAAGACCGAUUUCUUUCCAUAACACAUUCAUCAUCAAUACUUAGAUGAAACAAUCAAAAUCCCUUCCUUUAUACCCUAGCCGAAUGCUCCAAUCAUCCAUCAAAAUUACAAAUUUUAGCAUGGGCUAAGUAAGAACCAUGAUUAUUUACCUAAAGCAAGUUAAAAUUUCACAAUUUGACAUAAUAUACUAACCUUUUUAAUGACUCAAGUGACCAAAAAUUCUUCCCCUCCUUUGUUUCUUCUAUUCGGCCAUGUUGAACAACAAAGAAAGAAUUUUGUUUUUCCUCCCCUUUCUCUAGUCACGGCAAUGGGGAGUAAGGGGGAGACAACUUUGGUUUCUCCUCCCACUCCCCUCAUAUUUUAUUAUUCUUCCCACACAUAUUAGCAUAAAAUGUCUAUAAUAUGUUUUUCCCCAUAGCAUGGCCGGCCACCAUCUAGAUUUUUGGCUAAUUUGACAUUCAAACCCUUCUUUUAUACAACAUGCAUUAAUAGGUCCUUAUAGAUUACCCCAUCGCAUUUCAAAAGUGUCACACAUAAGUCCUAUUACUAAAUUCACAUGCAAUCGACUAAAUCGAAACUUAAAACUUUCACACAUUCAUAUUCACAUAUAAUAAACAUAAAAUAUGACGGCUAAUUAUUUUUAUGACUUGAUUUUGUAGUCCCGAAACCACUUUUCGACUAGGGUCAAAUUAGGGGUGUCACAACUCUCCCCCCUUUGGGGAUUUUCGUCCCCGAAAAUUUCUACCGAUGCAUAGUUUAGGAUGACGUCCUCUUGUUGAAUUAUAUUCAUAUAAACAUUAGCUCAUCGAUAGCAAUUGUAAUUCAUUAUUGAUUUCGCAUCGAUCUAUAAAAUCAUUUUCUUAUCUUAAAACAAAUACAUAAACAUUGCUACAAGUAUGCACAUAUAUCUCAUUUUCUUUAUUUCAUAAGCAAUAAUCACUUAAUUUAAUUCACAUAUGCAUUUCAAACACAUAUUAAGCACAUAUUAACGUGUAUAAUUCACAUCAUCAACCCACAUAUUUGUAACCCACAUUUUCAUUCAUGUAUAAGCUGUAACCUGACCGAAAGUACACAUAUACUCAAACAUCCCAAUAAUAUCCUUUAUAACUCCAUCAUAUCUCACUAUUCAACGUAACCUAUUUCCAACAGAAAAUCAACUUCCACAUACCUGAACAUUGAAUUCAUUUAGCACAUUCAAUCACCGUUAACGAUACCCGUAUACAAUCGAUUUGGCAUCAAGCCUCAUAUUGUAUACCGGCAUGGGAUUUAUUUUAGCACAUAACCCAUAUAUCCAAAAUUAUCAGCAUUCAUCACAAAUUCUUACAGACUUUCAAAUGUCGAACUUAAUCGAAAUAAUUUCUUGAAUAUCAUUAACAAAAAAAAUAGGGGUCAUUUAGCAAUAGCACAUAUGACUUCAUAUACCAAGCAUUCCAUAGACUAAAUUCGUAACACAUUUAUAACAUGAAUUCAUUUCUUAACAAUAUAUCCACCAUCUUUUUACUUUCAUCUGAUUUUCUCAUACCUUCCGUACAUACCCGUAUCACUUAUUCUGAUCUUACUUUAUUUAUCAUCUUAAAUAUACCCGUUGAAUCAUUCGAAAUCAUUACGGAUACUCAUUAAGCACAUAUAGCUCUUAUAAUGUCAUAUUCUAGAUAUGGUCUUACAUAUUCUCACAUAUCGAGCCGAUGCCAUGUCCCAGACAUGGUCUUACACACUAUCUCAAAUCAAUGCCUUCGUCCCAGACGAGGUCUUACAUGAAUUCCACUUCACACACUUAGUGCCCAUUGACCGAUCUCGCACUCAUAGUGCUCGGUUAAAGGAAUUUGCGCACACACAGUGCCUCUAAUCAUUCACACACAUAGUGCUCUUAUUCAUUCGUUAUUACACAUUGAAAUUACUUAACCAAGUCUAUAAACAUCAUGUAUGUACACUUUUAAACAUAUCAUCUCAUUUAAAUUUGAAUUCGUAUAGUAAUAAACACUUAAACUUUGCUCAAAUUACCGGCACGAAGCCUACUAGGCACGAAGGCCCGAAUACACGUCACCAGCAUGAUUGCUCUUUGGGACCUAGCCCGGAUAUAACACCAGCACGAAUGAUUUUCGGAACUUAGCCCGGAUACAUCACUAGCACGAAUGCUCUUCGGGACUUAGCCCGGAUACAUCACUAGCACGAAUGCUCUUUGGGACUUAGCCCGGAUACAUCACUAGCACGAAUGCUCUUCGGGACUUAGCCCGGAUACAUCACUAGCACGAAUGCUCUUCGGGACUUAGCCCGGAUACAUCACUAGCACGAAUGCUCUUCGGGACUUAACCCGGAUACAUCACUAGCACGAAUGCUCUUCGGGACUUAGCCCGGAUACAUCACUAGCACGAAUGCUCUUUGGGACUUAGCCCGGGUAGCCACAUACAAAAAUCACAGUUAUAGUCAUAACACUCUUUCAAAAUUGCAUCACUUAUACCCUUAUAAUUCAAUCCAAAUCGAAAUUCAAAUACGAGUACAUGAUACGUACCUGAUCAACUUAAUAAUUUAGGCAUAUCUAAGUGAAGUUAUAUCGCAAAUUCUUAUAGUCAGAAGCUUGCUACAGCUCGAUCGGGAUCAAGAUUCAUUACAAUACAGCAAACACAUUUUAAUAGUCGAAAAUCAUCACACUAUCAUUUUAUCACUUUAUGGCAUGUAUAAAUAGACUCAAGCGUGCUACGUUAGUCCUAGAAUCGACUAAACCGUAGCUCUGAUACCAAUAAAAUGUAACACCCCUAUCCCGUAACCGUCGCCGGAAUAGGUAAGGGGCAUUACCGGACUUGUAACUCAUGUCAGAACAGUACAAUUUUAAACUUUUUCUUGAAAUAAAGAUCAUUCAUUUAAAUAAGUACUAAGCACAGCCAGAGAUAAAAUUUAAACUUCACUAAGUAAACAUUCAAAAGAUGCCAUUUUCGCAUGGCUUAUAUACAUUAACCAAAAAUAUUCUUCCGCCACUAGUCUAUUCUAUACAUGCCAUAAAAUAGUUCUAAACAUAAUAGUAACAAGCAGUGGAUAGUGAUAGUGUGACUAGUUGCUGACGAUCCCCGAGCCUGUAGCUUCGCAAUGAGAUCUAUAAAACAGAGGAAACAGAGUAAACGGAGUAAGCAUUACAAUGCUUAGUAAGUUUUAAGCAGUGUCAACAGAUAACAAUCAAAUUAUAACAUAGUUGUUCGUAUUUUUAUUUCACUCUUCCUUCGGGCAUACCAUCCCUUUACCGAAUAUGCACAUCUCAUCAUAUACAAUAGGCAGAUAAACUUUCACAUAAAAGUGAGCUCAUGUGACAUAGAUAUAUCGUAUGAUUUCACAUAACCUCUCACAUUGAUCCGAUGUCACAUAAUCAUAGGAAUAGUCUCAUAGAUUGCUCUCGUAUGCAUCACAUAACUACCUUAUGAUUUAGUGCAAAUCAAGCUCACAUAUAAACUUGGAGUACAUACCUGUUUAACCUUUCGCAUUGAAUAUAUUUAUAAGCAAUUCUUAUUACGAAGUCUUAUAGCUUUAACCUCUACUCGGAUUAUCGGUGAGACCUUUAGCUCAGACGAAAUCUCCACACGAAGUUAUCGGGUCUUACCCGGACAAAAUCUCCACACGUAGUCAUCGGGUCUUACCCGGACAUAAUCUCCACACGUAGUCAUCGGGUCUUACCCGGAAUAUAUUUCCAAGUUUCAUGUACAUUUAUUCACAUGUUACAACAUUCACAUCGACUGUCAUAUUUGUGAUUCAUUUGCCUCAUCAAAUAUCUGAUAAUACACAGCUUUCACAUUUGGUCGUUCGGCCACAAUAUACGCACCUCGCCUAUAUAUUCACACGAGCCAUUCGGCUUUACCACAUAUACAUAUCUCAUACAUAUUUCACACUAGCCAUUCGGCUUUACCACAUAUGCAUGUCUCAUACAUAUUUCAUCACAUUGGCCAUUCGGCCUUAUCACACAUAUGCAUGCUCACAUUCAUCACAUUGGCCAUUCGGCCUUAUCACAUACAUGCAUGUUCACAUUCAUCACAUUGGCCAUUCGGCCUUAUCUCAUAUAUGCACAUUCACAUUCAUCACAUAAAAUCCUAAAUCAAAAUAUAAAUUUUCAUGUAUUCACAUCACAAUUGUCCAAAUAUACUUCACAUACCACACAUACUAUCAUGUAUACACUUUGUCUUGGCCGAAUCUACAUCAAUCAUUUUCCAAUGAAUAAUUCAAUUUCACGCCAUACUAUCAUUUCAUAUUCGAAUACUCAUUUAUUGUUUUACAAUAUCACGAUUUAGAAUUCACGUAUGGGUUUAAUCAAUAGCUUAUGAGCAACUAAAACAGUUUUAUCCAUGUUUACAACAAAAUCACAUAUUCACUACGAGCUGUUUUUCCUGAGCAAUAGUCACUAAAUUAUUUAUAACUGGAGCUACGAAACUCCAAAUCACUUGCUGUUAAUUUUCCCUGAAUAUAGACUCGUAUGUCUUCCAUCCAUAAAAUUUCCAGAAUUUUAGGUUUGGCUAAUCAAUACCAGAUUUUUCUUAAAGUUUCCCCUGUUUCACUGUUUGCCUAAUCUGACCGCUCUUCACUUCGAAUCAAAUUUUUCAUUUUGAAGAAUUCAAAAUGUGUUCUAUUUGAUUUCAUUUGAAACUAGACUCAUUAAGGAGUCUAAGCAUAUAAAUUUUAUCUUAUAACCAUUUUUGUACAAAUUAUAAUGAUUUUUCUAAAAACAGAACAGGGGAUUUCGGAGUCAUUCUGACACAGUCCCGCACAACUUUAAAUAUCUCUUUAUAGGCAAUUUCUUUGCUUACACGGUCUCUUUUAUAAGAAACUAGACUAACUAAGCUUUGAUUACAUAUUUUAUUCAGCCUAUAAUUCCACACCAACAAUUUAUAGUGAUUUUCUAAAAUCACAUUACUGCUGCUGUCCAAAGCAAAUUAUUACAAUUUGCUCUUAAAUUUCCAAGUCCAAACACUUAUGAACUUACCAUUUGAGUUUAAGACAUAUCAUGGCCACAUCAUAUCUUAUUAAAUCAACUCAUUAUGUCCUAUUAUGAUUGAAUUUACUCAACGUUUAAUCACUUAAAACUUACCUCGGAAGUGGUCGACGAUUAGAUAUCCACGGCUAUUCGUUUACUUUCUCUUUUCCCCUAUCCGACUUUGAUCCUCUAAGCUCUUGAGCUAAAUCAAACAAUUUACUUCCCAAUCAAACACAAUCACACGGCAUCCAUAUACAUUUUAGAACCAUUCUUAACAUAUUUACUACUCAUUUACAAACGAAAUACUCAUAUCACAUUUAUAAAACUACCUUUCAUAAACACUAUGUAUAAAUAUGCAUUUCUUCACUAUUUACUAAGUCAAGCCAAACCACAUGAUUUAUUAAUCGUUAAUAUAUAUAUACAGCAUUAACAACUUCACUUAAGCUUAAGUAUAAAAUUUGGUCUUACCAAAUUUUGCACAUUUUACCAAAAUAAUAACUACCAAUUUUACACAUAAGUGCCGAAUCAAAUAAUACCACACUUACAAUAUCACUUGACUAAUGAAAUAUCCAAAAUAUCAUUCUAUCAUUUACCAAAUUCAUAAACCACAUAUAAGGCACAUUUUAAACUCAAGCAUGUAACUUAACAACUUAACCAUUAGUUGUCGAACCACAAACAAAACAUAUUCAUACGUUAAUAUCUCAAACCUUACCAUAACAACCAAUAUGCAAGAUAUCACAUAUACAUAACUUAGCUUAUGAGAACAUAUGUAUUACAUCAUAAACACAUCUUUUACCAAUUACCUCACUUAAGCCAAAUUUUUAUAAUCAACCACAAAAAAAUAUACCACAAAUCACACUUCCAAAAUGGGCUACUUCCAUGGCCGAUUAUACUUCAUCAUUAACAUAUCUCAUUUUCGAAUCAUAUAAUCAACAUUUGUUCAAGACAUCAAACCUCUUUAAUUUCGGCUAUUACUAAUAUAAACAUUCACAAAUCAUAUUCUUAGGAAGACCGAUUUCUUUCCAUAACACAUUCAUCAUCAAUACUUAGAUGAAACAAUCAAAAUCCCUUCCUUUAUACCCUAGCCGAAUGCUCCAAUCAUCCAUCAAAAUUACAAAUUUUAGCAUGGGCUAAGUAAGAACCAUGAUUAUUUACCUAAAACAAGUUAAAAUUUUACAAUUUGAUAUAAUAUACUAACCUUUUUAAUGACUCAAGUGACCAAAAAUUCUUCCCCUCCUUUGUUUCUUCUAUUCGACCAUGUUGAACAACAAAGAAAGAAUUUUGUUUUUCCUCCCCUUUCUCUAGUCACGGCAAUGGGGAGUAAGGGGGAGACAACUUUGGUUUCUCCUCCCACUCCCCUCAUAUUUUAUUAUUCUUCCCACACAUAUUAGCAUAAAAUGUCUAUAAUAUGUUUUUCCCCAUAGCAUGGCCGGCCACCAUCUAGAUUUUUGGCUAAUUUGACAUGCAAACCCUUCUUUUAUACAACAUGCAUUAAUAGGUCCUUAUAGAUUAACCCAUCGCAUUUCAAAAGUGUCACACAUAAGUCCUAUUACUAAAUUCACAUGCAAUCGACUAAAUCGAAACUUAAAACUUUCACACAUUCAUAUUCACAUAUAAUAAACAUAAAAUAUGACGGCUAAUUAUUUUUAUGACUUGAUUUUGUGGUCCCGAAACCACUUUUCGACUAGGGUCAAAUUAGGGGUGUCACACUCCACUCUGAUGUUCCCCCCGUCAUAACGUUUGCCACUUCGUGUAUGGGAACCUUCAUUUUGCGUGCCUCUGGCUGUGCUGGCUAUACUCUCCCCCUCAAGUAUUGUUAUACUGCAGUCAUACUCCAUGGUACCCUCUUGUCAUCCUUGUAAGAGAAAGGAUUGGGUUUAUGGAUGACGAUUUUGGGCCCAUUUUGCGGCCCCACCUCAUUAUUCCCUGGCAAAGAAAUAAUAAUUCUUGGUUGGUUGGUUCUUUUUCGUUCAUUCUCCAGCACACAAAUUUGUCCUUCACAAGAACUUCCCUCAGAAACCUGUAGUUCUUUGUUAACCAUAAGGCCUUGUACCAUGGCCCUGAACUGUUCAGAAUUUUGGAUCAUAUAACCCACCUCUCCAUGGAAUUCACAAUGGUUCUCUAUUCCUUCACUUCCUUUUCUAGAGGUCAACAUAUCUCUCUUCACCAUCUCCUCCCAUAUUACUUUCAUAGGUGUCUUCACCUCAGCAAUAUCUUCCUUGAUUUUUCCUUUCUUUCUUUCAUCGAUGGCAUUCACUCCUUGAUUGCCAUGAUCUGAAAACAGAUUUCCAGUAUUAGGAGUACUAUCGAAUUUCACAACCCCCAUCUUAAUAAGCCUCUCCACAACCUUCUUGAAUCCGGUGCAGUUUUCAAUUGAAUGCCCCGGUACUCCUGCGUGAUAUUCACACUUAGCAUUUGCAUCAUACCAUUUGGGGAAUGGUGGCUGCAGUGGUUUCAAGUGAAAUGGAGCGGUGGCAUGUGCAUUGUAUAAGCUUUGAUAAAGCUCACGAUACGUCACGGGGAUAGGCGUGAAUUGUAUCCUCUCCGAAUUUUGUCUUGUACUCGAUUCCUGUCUUUGAGUGCUUUGUUGCUCAGCUUUGGGUUGACCAAUUGUAACUGCUCUCGAGUUGAGGCUAUUCACCUCGUUGUCCUUUCUCCUUGGGGUCGACCUUUUAGCCGCUUCCCCCUCGAUUUUAUCGUCCCUCACGGUAUUCUCAAUCAUCUCACCUGCCAUAACUAUAUCCGUGAAACUCUUCGUGGUACUUCUAAUCAUAUGAGUGAUGAAUGACGCCUUCCAAGUAUUAAUAAAUAACAUGGUGGUCUCAUUUUCCAACAAUAGUGGUUGUACUUGCAUCGCCACCUCCCUCCAUCGUUGUGCAUAUUGCCUAAAACUUUCAUUAGGCUUUUUCUCCAUAUUUUGAAGUGUGAUCCUAUCUGGCGUCAUAUCACUCACAUGGUUGUACUGUUGCAUGAAGGCCUGUGCCAGAUCUCUCCAUGAACCGAUUCUUGCACGGCUCAACUGAUUGUACCAUCUGGCCACUACUCCUACUAAACUGUCUUGAAAACAAUGGAUCAAUAAUUGAUCAUUGUUCACAUAUCCAGUCAUCCUCCUACAAAACAUUGUUAUGUGUGCCUCUGGACAAGUAGUCCUGUUGUACUUUUCAAACUUUGGCAUCUUAAAUUUAUGAGGAAGCACCAAAUCUGGGACCAAACUUAAGUGUUUGGCAUCAAUCCCAUGAUAAUUUCUAGCGCCUUCUAAAACCCUAAACUUCUCCUCUAACCACCUGCAACGACCUUCCAAUUGUUUCGCAAAUUCAGUUGCCAUUCUUUCCUUUUCCAUCAAAUCCAAAUCAAGAGUGAUAGGGUUGACCGAGCUAUCACCCAAAUUAUUUUCCAACCCAGAUGGGAAAUUAUCGGGGAUUCUAGCAUCAACUGGCCCAUGUUGAGGCCUUACGGUGACAGAUGGCCUUCUAGGAGGUGCCUCGGUUUGCAGUGGCACAUGAGGCGGAGUAAAACCCGGAGGAGGACCUUCAUUCUCCUCUUCAGUGAUCGCCAUGGGAGCUUUUCCUUUAUCAAUGGCUCUCAGCAGCUGAGCCAUUUCAGCCAUCAUGUUCCUCUGAGCCUCUAGCAUUUGCUCCCUCAUUUCAUUCUGUAUUUUGGCCAACUGCUCUUGCAUUUGGUCUUGCAUAUCUUUUUGUAAUUACUCGAACCUUUGAUCCAUACUCUUAGUUUUUGUGCGAGUGCCGUAAGGAUGUGUGAUUUCUAGAUUUUCUUUUCUACCUUCGGAAGUAAACUUUAACUAAUCAGGGUCUUUCUAUAGCUUUGAAUGUAAACGAUAUGAUGAAAUUCCAUGAGAUGCAAAUGCAUGAAUGCAAAAAGGAGAUCGAUUAUGGUUCAACUUCAUUUAGAAAAUUUUAUUUAGAAAAAGAAUAUCUUUACAUAUAAGAGGAUUACAAAUACGCUUUCGCUCUAAGGCCCAAAGCUUUAACUUUACCUAAUAAAAAGGCUAACUCUCGUCCUAUAUCCGAUGAUGAUGAAUACAUCAGACUCAAUACAUCAGCUCGAACUGCCAAGUCUUGCACAUAUUCAGCGACCUCUCGAAUCUGGGCUAUGGCCUCACCAAUGACAUGAUCCCUUUCUCUGACUUGUCCCCUAGCCUGAUGAAGCUCUCCCUUCAGAUAAUCUUCUUGCGCCUCGAGCUGCUCAACCCGGAGUUCACCGUCAUGCAAUGCCACUUCCAAAUCCUCAACCUUGCUUUUUAGCCCCUUUAACUCGACCGUAGAGUUAUGGUUUUGGUGCCAACGUAAGGAUCUUCCAAGCUCAAUUACCCUAGUCUUCAACCCUUUAUUCAUUUCCUCUAAUGCCAAAUUCUGCAUCUGUAUCUCUUGGAACUUCCUCUCCUAAUACUCAGCUCUAGCCUUUUCCUCUUGGACCUCUUUCUGCAACUAAUCUGAAGAUCCUCCUACUCUCGCCCUCCUCAAGGAUACUUGUGACCUUCUGUAAUGUUCCUUUAGAUCAUCUCGAUCUUCCUCUUUUCUUUCCUCUCUUUCUCGACCUCUAUUUUUUGAACCUCGACGUCCAAACUCAAGUACAUCUUUUCUUCUUCGAGCUUUGCUAUCCUCUUCUCGAACUCCAAGUUCUUUCUCUCGAACUCCUGCUUCAUAAUUUCUAACUCUGAGGGCCUUACUUGCCAAUAUUCCUCUAUCGAUCGAGCUCCUUCCACGCUUGGCUUAGGGAUGUUAUCGUUAACCAUUCUGCCUCUCCAUUCAACGUAUUCCGGUGUGGUUGCAAGGCUAAUAGCUACUCCUUUCAACUGACAAGUCUUUUUCCAAGCACUAGAAACUUCACUAACCCUCCUCUUGUAAUCGGCUCCUCUGUAUACAAAACUCACUUUAAGCCAACCCCUGAGUCGCUGGUACGAACUGUCUCAAUCCAUGCUGCCUCAGCACGAGAAAAGGGGCAUAACCAAUGGCACCCCAAAUUCCUAGCAGGGGGACCCAAUCAAAACUGCUGCAUCGGUAAAGAACUUCACCAGGAAUCAUCCACAGAGCCCUCCACUCGACAUCUUUAGACUGAAUGUUCUAAAGUAGCGCAAUCCAAUUUUCUUCUGGAACAUCAACUCUCCUAGUUGAAGCUACUAUGUCUUUUAACGGUGAAUAAUCUUCGAAUAAGACCCGAUAAACCACCCUAUCUAUCAACCAAAAAUGACUGUAAAACCAAGCCAAAGUAACUGAGCACACCCUAUAAACCUGCCAGCACCAGCCCUCCUACAUGCACCUAAAGACCUGAAUGUUUCUGCCAAAAUUGCAGGGACAGAAGUGACUUUUUUACGGAGUCGAUGAAAAAGAUCCGUGGUUGCCUCAUCCACAUAUCCCAAAGCCCUAGGGAAAACCAUUAAUCCAUACAAACUUAAGGCAAAAACAUCUACCUUCUUCAUCUCGUCAAGGUGUGUCAGAAUCAAAUCUUUCAAAGCGUCCCAUGAAAUGCACUUGCACUCACCUUUCUCUUUAAUUCGAGCCGCGGUCCACUGUUCGCUCAUCCCCAUAAUAAUCAUCAGUUUUUUCCAAAAGGUAGGGACACAAGCAGCUCGAGAAUAGAUCCUAUUAUUUUGAAAGUUGAGACAACGAAGCAAGGUAGUGUACUCCUCCAUAGUAGGUACCAAGUCUACUUCCCCAAAAGUGAAACAAUUGUACGCCGGGUUCCAAAACUGAGCAAGGGCUCGAAAUAAGUGCUCGUCUACCUGAACAUCAAGCAAGUAAGGUAAGUCUCCAUAAUUAUCGUAGAAUAACUGCUUAGUCUUUUUGCCCCACUGAUCCCAAAUCUCCUUAAGCUCUUGGAGAUUAUUCUGCGUGACACUAAUACAAGUGUAAUCUGACAGCUUCGACACGUAUCCCACAGCUAUACUAUCUCCCUUUUCUAGUUGAGUUUGCUCAGACCAUCUAUGGACAUUGGCGUUGCCUUCCACUCUAUCAAGAAGUCCGUUCUCCAUAAUAAAACUUCCUAACUUAGAAACUGACCGUGAAUCGAUACCUUUCAAAUGCAACAUGACAUGCACAAAAAGAAAAGAGAUAGUCAGUAUCACAUGAUAUCAAUAAAUUUCAGCGAUAAUUCAUAAGGGUAAUAUCUAAAGUUUAAACCUAACUAAGUUGGGCUUUUACGGUUUUUCGAUAUGAAGUUGGUUCUAAAGUUUGCAGUACCCAAACCAGCAGAUUCCUCGAUUCUCACCCAUUAUAGGCUCAUUUGAAUCGAGUUCAGUUCGGGGGAAUACAUUUCCCUAUGGCUACAUGGAGAUGAAAAUCUCACGAAACCAUAAGUACGGAUGUAUUCCGAAAGUGAUCCACUAUCCUGCACAGAGGCGAAAACCUCACGAAGGCGUAGUUUCUCACUCUCACUUAAGGGUAUGACCACAAUGGUCAUGCAAAUGCAAUGUGUAUCAGAAUAUAGCAACACAUGCAAUAAUACAAACACAUGCAAUGCAAAGAGGAUUAAAUUUUAGAAUUUUUAAUUUCCGACACUAAGACAAGAGAUAAUCAAUUACACAGCUUGAUUCUCUUAUUGGUCCCCAGUGGAGUCGCCAAGCUGUCGAGACCAUUUUUAAAUCGAGUUUUAGGAAAACGAGAAUCGACUUUAAAAUGAAAAUAGAAGUCGCCAUCAAUCUUUUUAGGUGUGAUUGGAUCACCUUUAAAACAUUUUGUUUUAAAAUCAUCAGUUUUGGUCUACGAAAUCAGAAAACGGGUUCGGGAGCCGGUUACAUACGAGGAAGGGUUAGCACCCUCGUAAAGCCCAAAAAUUAGUACCUAAUUGAUUAUCAAGCGUCUUUAAUGUCGGAAACUCAAAAAUUUUAAGAUGUAGUCCUCUUUAAAAUAUUUUAGUUUUGAAAAUUAGGGUUUACUCGUAUCAAAGUAUUGACACUAAGUUAGCUUUUUUGAAAUACCUAUCUCGAAACAUCAAAACGCCAUAUCCAAUAAGUUAGGACAUAUUGCUUUGAAAUUCCAAGACAGUUGCUUGCAUUUAGAAAACCUUUAAAAACUUAGAAGGGUACUUGAUUAUUCGAACUUAACGAGAAAAGUCGCAACCCAAUAAGUUAAGGCACUACUUUUCUCGAAAUUCCCAAACACCAAGCAUUGCCUUUAUACUUUUUAGAAAACUUUGGAAUUUUAUUUUUAAUUAAUGCAUGAGAAAUCACAUUAUCAUUAUGGAAUAGAAUAUUGAAUAAUAAGUGAAUAAAACAUACAUUUAAACGAUACAAUAGCAAUAAUACAAAUAUCAUAUACUAGAUACAUACAUGUUUAAAAUUACAUAACAUCAUAUAUACAAAGAUACAUAUAGCUUAUAUUGAAGAUGGAUAAGCCAAACAUACAAACAUACAUAGUAAUAAUUAAGAAAUGAUGCAUUUACACAAUUAAAAGAAAUAUACUAUCAAUGUACAUGUUCAUAAAAUAUAACAUUAAAUAAUAAUUAUAAGAUAACAUUUAAUACAUAAAAUAUAUAUAAAAUAUAUAAAAGAAUUAGUAUAUAUAAAAAAUAUAAAAUAAAAUGAGUAAUUGUUAAUGAAAUAUACUUAUAAUACAAAAAAAAUAUGGUAUUUAAUAAUUUAAAAAUAGCAUCUUAUAUACAAUAUAUAAUAUAUAAUAACAAAAUAAUAAUUAUUAUAAAAUAAAAUAUAUUUGUGUUUUAAGAAAAAUAAUAUAUAAAAUAGAAAGUAUAUAAAAUAAUUUACAAAAUAAUUACAUAAUAAAUAAAAAUAUCACAUAAAAAAUAAUUAAUAAUGAAGUAUAUAUGUAAUAUGAGUUAAAAUAUAAUUUAAUAAUGAUAACUUACAAAUUUUAAAAUUAUAAAUAAUAUAAUGAGUAAUAUAAAACAUAUAUAUAAUAUGAUAGAUAAUAUAUAAAAAUAUAUAUAAUAAAUUUUAUACAAUAAAAUAUAAUAUAUAUAGGAAAAUAAUAUAUGAUAAAAGAUUUUAAAUGUAUAAAUGGUAUUUUUAAUAAUAAUAAAUAAAUUAUAAAAAUAAAAUAAUAAAAUUUAAAAAUAAUAAAGAAAGGAUUAAAAUUGAAUUUAAAUAAAAUUAUAAGGCUAAGUUGCCAAAUAAUAUAAAUUCUGGGCCUAAUUUGCAAAAGUAAAAAAAACCGACAAAGGACUCAUUGGGCAAAUUGCCCUAAUCCUAAACGACGCCGUUUCCCAUAAUAUAAUCUAAGAACUGUUGGGACUAAAUUGCAACAAUUAUAAAAUAUUAGGGUCAAAUUAAAUAAUAAAAUAGAACCAAAUUGAAAAUUCAGAAAACACAGGAGGAUCAAUUGGGCAAUUUGCCCAUUUUCCAAAAAACACGCGGAUCCUCCCCGGGUCACGGGUCAACGCGCUGAUCCUAUGCUUUAAAACGACACCGUUUUAGGCUUAUUGACUUAAGCCUAAACGGCACCGUUCCUCAUAGGCUAUAUAAGUCAAAAUCUAACCUAAAAAUCAUUUAGAAACCUGAUUUAAAAAAAAAACUAAAAGAAACCCUCUGAAAAUCCCCUAGCCCUCUGAGCUCCGGCCCUAGGCCGGUCUACUCCGUUCAUCGGGCCUCCGUGCCCAUCCUCACGCGCCGUCGCCGACUCUGUCAUACACGGCGGUCGGGAUCUGAUACAGUUUGCUUUUCUCAGACAAUCUAGAAGGUAUAUUUCUUUCCUCUAUUUUGAUGUAUUAUAUGCUGGUUAUUUACAAUAAAGUAAAAGAGAAUAAAAAGUAGAGUAAGAAUAAUCGAUCACCUUCGUUUCUCGCGAAAUAUUUCUGAUAUAUUAUUGCAAAGGUUUGGUGUACAAUGAUUUCGUGAUGUGUUUCUCUAUCUCUUUUGUGUAUACUCUCUGUUUCUAUCUAUGUGUAUUUGCCCUCUGUCUCCCUGUCUUUUUCUCUGUAUAUCUAUGUGUAUUCGCCCCCCUUUUCCAAAUGAAAGGGAAGGCUUUAUAGCCUUAAUCCUUUACAUAUUCUGGGAAAGAAAUCUCCGAUUUCUUUCUAUUUUUUGUCCACUGUAUCUUUGACCGUGAUCUGCUGAGAUUCUUUUUAGUUUCCUUUUUCUUGCUCUAUGUAUCUGCUGUGUUUCCUUUUCUGCUUCGUGUCCUUUGUCUUGUCUUGCAGGUAUUUGCGAGAAAUCCGACGGUGGCAAAGGCUUGAUGAUGGUCCACUGGUUGCGUUGAUCUCGGCGUGACUCGGAGCCUUAGGAUUGUGGCAUUGCUGGAGAGUGGCUGGAACGACGCGUCUGUUGGGAUGGCUUUUGGAAUCUUCUGCUUGCGGCGCAAGGAGAAAGAGAGGCAGAAACCCUAGGGUUUCAUGCCUCGGUGUAACAGUUUGGGCCAGUUGGGCCACUUUAGUCUUGGGUCCAUUUGGGUCUGUUGUAAUGGGUCUUAGGAGUAAGAUUUUAGAAAUGGGCUAGUAAUGUAACGGGUUUGGGUCUGCUGAGUUGUAACCGGGUAUAAGGUUUAGGCCAAUUGGUUUUGGGUCUACUGGUUGGUGGGCCAAUGUAAAUGGACUGUUACAUGGACUGUUUUAAAAACAAUUAUUUAU